Molecule: non-coding RNA, 26 nt
Filed under: Homo sapiens (human)
Lineage: Eukaryota; Metazoa; Chordata; Mammalia; Primates; Hominidae
Source: RNAcentral
UGACAAUCUUAUGGGACCACGGUUGU